CACGUAGGGCGCAAGCGUUGUCCGGAAUUAUUGGGCGUAAAGAGCUCGUAGGCGGUCUGUUACGUCUGCUGUGAAAACCCAGGGCUUAACCCUGGGCUUGCAGUGGAUACGGGCAGACUAGAGGCAGGUAGGGGAGAAUGGAAUUCCCGGUGUAGCGGUGAAAUGCGCAGAUAUCGGGAGGAACACCGGUGGCGAAGGCGGUUCUCUGGGCAAUUCCUGACGCUGAGGCGCGAAAGCGUGGGGAGCAAACGGG
Molecule: ribosomal RNA, 253 nt
Filed under: uncultured bacterium
Lineage: Bacteria
Description: partial 16S ribosomal RNA
Rfam family: Bacterial small subunit ribosomal RNA
Source: RNAcentral